UCAGAGAAUCUCCUUGGAGGAGAAGGGGUUGGUCACUGAACAGCCCUCCCUGCCCCUCCCAAGGCCUUCCCAAGGAGUCUGUCCGGUCCCUCAGCCCAGCACACUGGACUUCCAGCCUGCCCUGAAUGUGAUCACAAAUGAAAACUGGAAUUUGCCUCCCAAGGUUGGACAGUGGAACUGUCAGAUCUCCAGAACUCCAGAUCUCCUUCAGGGUGUCUGGCUUUCCCUGCCCUCCUGUGAACCGGCUGGGGACAGACCCAACUAGACAGAAGGUCAAAGCACCAAAGAGAACGACCCUCUCGAGAGUCUGGAGUAGCCUGAAAACCAUCAGCCCUGCUCUCCAGUCUCCCAGUCUCGGAAAAUAACAACAGUCUUUGCUCACUCUCCCUCACAAA
Molecule: non-coding RNA, 395 nt
Organism: Macaca mulatta (Rhesus monkey)
Lineage: Eukaryota; Metazoa; Chordata; Mammalia; Primates; Cercopithecidae
Source: RefSeq, a predicted model, not a curated record